GAACCUAAAUUUAAUGAUCAAAUUAAAUGCGAAAAUAAAAAAAAUUAAAGACUAAGAUAAAAAAAAAUCAAAUUCAAAAACAAAAUGUUUCUUAAAUAAAUAAUAAAUUCAAGUGGAGCAGGUAAAAUAAAGGGAAUGAAUAAUGACAAAUUCGAAUCACAACAUGAUAUCAAUCCGAUCUACUCACACCCGAAGGAGGUAUAAUAAACCCUAAAAAUCAACACAAAAAUACAAC
Molecule: long non-coding RNA, 235 nt
Filed under: Gossypium raimondii (Peruvian cotton)
Lineage: Eukaryota; Viridiplantae; Streptophyta; Magnoliopsida; Malvales; Malvaceae
Description: long non-coding RNA (GRAI_LNC004152)
Source: RNAcentral